RNAcentral lists this ribosomal RNA (253 nucleotides) under uncultured bacterium. RNAcentral's name for it is "partial 16S ribosomal RNA". It matches the Rfam family "Bacterial small subunit ribosomal RNA", at positions 524 to 776 of the family's 1533-position model. The record is from RNAcentral.
UACAGAGGGGGCAAGCGUUGUUCGGAAUUACUGGGCGUAAAGGGCGCGUAGGCGGCCAACUAAGACAGACGUGAAAUCCCUCGGCUCAACCGGGGAACUGCGUCUGAUACUGGAUGGCUUGAAUCCGGGAGAGGGAUGUGGAAUUCCAGGUGUAGCGGUGAAAUGCGUAGAUAUCUGGAGGAACACCCGUGGCGAAGGCGGCAUCCUGGACCGGUAUUGACGCUGAGGCGAGAAAGCCAGGGGAGCAAACAGG